Molecule: ribosomal RNA, 497 nt
Filed under: uncultured bacterium
Lineage: Bacteria
Description: partial 16S ribosomal RNA
Rfam family: Bacterial small subunit ribosomal RNA
Source: RNAcentral
GAUGAACGCUGGCGGCGUGCCUAAUACAUGCAAGUCGAGCGAACGGACGAGAAGCUUGCUUCUCUGAUGUUAGCGGCGGACGGGUGAGUAACACGUGGAUAACCUACCUAUAAGACUGGGAUAACUUCGGGAAACCGGAGCUAAUACCGGAUAAUAUUUUGAACCGCAUGGUUCAAAAGUGAAAGACGGUCUUGCUGUCACUUAUAGAUGGAUCCGCGCUGCAUUAGCUAGUUGGUAAGGUAACGGCUUACCAAGGCAACGAUGCAUAGCCGACCUGAGAGGGUGAUCGGCCACACUGGAACUGAGACACGGUCCAGACUCCUACGGGAGGCAGCAGUAGGGAAUCUUCCGCAAUGGGCGAAAGCCUGACGGAGCAACGCCGCGUGAGUGAUGAAGGUCUUCGGAUCGUAAAACUCUGUUAUUAGGGAAGAACAUAUGUGUAAGUAACUGUGCACAUCUUGACGGUACCUAAUCAGAAAGCCACGGCUGACUACGUG